This 195-nucleotide ribosomal RNA is filed under the name uncultured bacterium. Its description in RNAcentral is "partial 16S ribosomal RNA". It matches the Rfam family "Bacterial small subunit ribosomal RNA", at positions 338 to 524 of the family's 1533-position model. The record is from RNAcentral.
CCUACGGGAGGCAGCAGUGGGGAAUAUUGCACAAUGGGCGAAAGCCUGAUGCAGCAAUGCCGCGUGUGUGAAGAAGGCCUGCGGGUUGUAAAGCACUUUCAGUGGGGAGGAAACAGUUGCGGGUUAAUAUCCCGCGACCUUGACGUUACCCACAGAAGAAGCACCGGCUAACUCCGUGCCAGCAGCCGCGGUAAU